Molecule: ribosomal RNA, 386 nt
Filed under: Macaca nemestrina (pig-tailed macaque)
Lineage: Eukaryota; Metazoa; Chordata; Mammalia; Primates; Cercopithecidae
Description: 12S ribosomal RNA
Rfam family: Bacterial small subunit ribosomal RNA
Source: RNAcentral
GCUUGGCCCUAAACCUCAGUAGUUAAACAACAAAACUACUCGCCAGAAUACUACAAGCAACGGCUUAAAACUCAAAGGACUUGACGGUGCUUUACACCCCCUAGAGGAGCCUGUUCCAUAAUCGAUAAACCCCGAUCCACCCCACCCUCUCUUGCUCAGCCUAUAUACCGCCAUCUUCAGCAAACCCUGAUAAAGGUUACAAAGUGAGCGCAAACGCCUCCCCGCAAAAACGUUAGGUCAAGGUGUAGCCCAUGAGACGGUAAAAAAUGGGCUACAUUUUCUAUAUCAGAAAACCCACGAAAACUCUUAUGAAACUUGAGAGUCCAAGGAGGAUUUAGUAGUAAAUUAAGAAUAGAGUGCUUAAUUGAACGAGGCCAUAAAGCGCG